RNAcentral lists this transfer RNA (66 nucleotides) under Magallana hongkongensis (Hong Kong oyster). Its description in RNAcentral is "tRNA-Asn". It matches the Rfam family "tRNA". From Rfam's summary of the family: Transfer RNA (tRNA) molecules are approximately 80 nucleotides in length. Lineage: Eukaryota; Metazoa; Mollusca; Bivalvia; Ostreida; Ostreidae. The record is from RNAcentral.
AAGAAAGUAGCCCAAAUAUAAGGCAACUAGCUGUUAACUAGUAGAUGCGAUUAAUCGCCUUUCUUU